RNAcentral lists this ribosomal RNA (253 nucleotides) under uncultured bacterium. RNAcentral describes it as "partial 16S ribosomal RNA". It matches the Rfam family "Bacterial small subunit ribosomal RNA", at positions 524 to 776 of the family's 1533-position model. The record is from RNAcentral.
UACGUAGGGUGCAAGCGUUGUCCGGAUUUAUUGGGCGUAAAGGGCUCGUAGGCGGUUUGUCGCGUCGGGAGUGAAAACCCAGGGCUUAACCCUGGGCUGGCUUCCGAUACUGGCAGACUAGAGGUAUGCAGGGGAGAACGGAAUUCCUGGUGUAGCGGUGAAAUGCGCAGAUAUCAGGAGGAACACCGGUGGCGAAGGCGGUUCUCUGGGCAUUACCUGACGCUGAGGAGCGAAAGUGUGGGGAGCGAACAGG